AAAAUAUCAGACUUCCGACAAAAUAAAAGUCAGCUUUGCGAGAUUAUUUUGGUGGAAAUAAGCUUCCACACAGAUCAGUGGUCCUUCUGUACAGGUUUUUAACAUUUGAUUUCUUCAGCCCUAUAUGAUUAGUUUUGGGUAUAAAGAAGAAACUGUAUUUUUUUAAUUUAUUUUAGGAAUAACUUGAUCCAGGAAUGCGUUCUGCAGUCAACGUCCAGGUCACGUGACGCCUGUAUUUAUUUAGUUGAUUAAACAUUUCAAGACAUAAAAAAGUAUUGCAGUCACAUUGAUUAAAAACAACAAAAUAUACAUCAAAUAUAAAUUAGGAUUGAUGCAAAACAACCGUCCUCAGUAGUUAACAAGAUGAAUUUCAUAACAUCAUUAUGCGUGUGAAUGUUGUAGUGUAUCCCAGAAUGCACUUCAAGGACUUAAAAUUCUCUGAGCUUCUGUCUUCUAACCGCUUGUAAGAUUUACUGUUCAAUAAUACAAUCAGUCGUAGUUUACAUAUUAUAACGUGAUGAAUGUUGGGCCUAGUUAGCCUAUGUGUUGCUGGUAAUUAUCUUUUUAUAUUCAUCAUCAUAUUUCUGUUUCAGUCGUAGACUAUUAACUCAGUCCUGCUUCGCCGCGAGGUGGCGCUCGUGCGCAGACUCAGAUUGACAGUCACGUGCUGUUGGGUUUUUAAAUCAAGUGUCUGUUUUCUUAGUUUAAGUUCAUACAUCUUUAGUGGGUUAUGUGCAUGGCUUUUUUUAAUUAAAAGGCACAUUUAGGAGAAUGUGAAUACUUGAUGAACUGGUUUGUGCUGGUGGUAUUUUAAAGUGCAGCUUUUUCCCAUUAAAACAAGUUAAACGUUUCGAGUUUGCUGUAUAAAACAUGGUUCUCAGGUUUUUUUGAACGUGUAUGUUAAGAUAAAGCUUUCCUCUA
Molecule: long non-coding RNA, 921 nt
Organism: Carassius carassius (crucian carp)
Lineage: Eukaryota; Metazoa; Chordata; Actinopteri; Cypriniformes; Cyprinidae
Exons: 2
Source: RefSeq, a predicted model, not a curated record